CCUACGGGAGGCAGCAGUGAGGAAUAUUGGUCAAUGGACGAGAGUCUGAACCAGCCAAGUAGCGUGAAGGAUGACUGCCCUAUGGGUUGUAAACUUCUUUUAUAAAGGAAUAAAACGAGGCACGUGUGCCUUUUUGCAUGUACUUUAUGAAUAAGGAUCGGCUAACUCCGUGCCAGCAGCCGCGGUAAUACGGAGGAUCCGAGCGUUAUCCGGAUUUAUUGGGUUUAAAGGGAGCGUAGAUGGGUUGUUAAGUCAGUUGUGAAAGUUUGCGGCUCAACCGUAAAAUUGCAAUUGAUACUGGCAGUCUUGAGUACAGUUGAGGUAGGCGGAAUUCGUGGUGUAGCAGUGAAAUGCUUAGAUAUCACGAAGAACCCCGAUUGCGAAGGCAGCUGACUAAACUGUGACUGACAUUGAUGCUCGAAAGUGUGGGUAUCAAACAGGAUUAGAUACCCUUGUAGUC
RNAcentral lists this ribosomal RNA (460 nucleotides) under uncultured bacterium. Its description in RNAcentral is "partial 16S ribosomal RNA". It matches the Rfam family "Bacterial small subunit ribosomal RNA", at positions 338 to 795 of the family's 1533-position model. The record is from RNAcentral.